Panthera pardus (leopard) is the source of this 104-nucleotide ribosomal RNA. The record is from Ensembl. Lineage: Eukaryota; Metazoa; Chordata; Mammalia; Carnivora; Felidae.
GAUGAUAGGUAUAAUAAGCAAAUUACAUAACUGGUCUCAGAAGCUAACAGGCCUGGCCAGUACUUUGAUGGGAGACUGCCUGGGAAUACCAGGUGCUGUAGGCU